AGCGGCGGACGGGUGAGUAACACGUGGGUAACCUGCCCAAGAGACUGGGAUAACACCUGGAAACAGAUGCUAAUACCGGAUAACAACACUAGACGCAUGUCUAGAGCUUGAAAGAUGGUUCUGCUAUCUCUCUUGGAUGGACCUGCGGUGCAUUAGCUAGUUGGUAAGGUAACGGCUUACCAAGGCAAUGAUGCAUAGCCGAGUUGAGAGACUGAUCGGCCACAUUGGGACUGAGACACGGCCCAAACUCCUACGGGAGGCAGCAGUAGGGAAUCUUCCACAAUGGACGAAAGUCUGAUGGAGCAACGCCGCGUGAGUGAAGAAGGGUUUCGGCUCGUAAAGCUCUGUUGGUAGUGAAGAAAGAUAGAGGUAGUAACUGGCCUUUAUUUGACGGUAAUUACUUAGAAAGUCACGGCUAACUACGUGCCAGCAGCCGCGGUAAUACGUAGGUGGCAAGCGUUGUCCGGAUUUAUUGGGCGUAAAGCGAGUGCAGGCGGUUCAAUAAGUCUGAUGUGAAAGCCUUCGGCUCAACCGGAGAAUUGCAUCAGAAACUGUCGAACUUGAGUGCAGAAGAGGAGAGUGGAACUCCAUGUGUAGCGGUGGAAUGCGUAGAUAUAUGGAAGAACACCAGUGGCGAAGGCGGCUCUCUGGUCUGCAACUGACGCUGAGUCUCGAAAGCAUGGGUAGCGAACAGGAUUAGAUACCCUGGUAGUCCAUGCCGUAAACGAUGAGUGCUAAGUGU
Molecule: ribosomal RNA, 742 nt
Filed under: uncultured bacterium
Lineage: Bacteria
Description: bacterial SSU rRNA
Rfam family: Bacterial small subunit ribosomal RNA
Source: RNAcentral